This 88-nucleotide ribozyme is filed under the name unclassified sequences. RNAcentral describes it as "HDV ribozyme from F. prausnitzii". It matches the Rfam family "HDV ribozyme from F. prausnitzii". The record is from RNAcentral.
GCUGCUCUGAUAAUCACAUACCUCUACGUGGUGAGCAGCAGGUAACGAUCUAAGGAUCAGGAAUUCGAUGAUCGGCGAAGAUGUGAAG